AGAGGGGAAGUAGGCUGAACAUUCAGGUUGAGUAUUAGGCAAGAUUUCUUCUCUUAAAGAGAGGUGAUGCAUUGGUACAACUGCCCUGGGAGGUGGAGGGGAGGGGGUCACCAUCCCUGGAGGAGUUCAGGAUAUGUGGCACUGGGGGAUGUGGUCAGUAGGCAAGGUGGGAUGGGUUGGGAAUCUGAGCAGUCUCCAACCUUAAUGAUUCUAUGAUUCUACGACACACUUGGCUUUGCUACGUUGCUGCAAAGACUGUUUUCAACAAGCUUUGAAAUUACAUGAGAUGAGAUGAUACAGAAUGCAUCUGUCCGUAGAGAAGUGAAUUGCUUUUGAUUAACCUGUUGCUUGGGUGUUUUUGUUUGUUUGUUUUUAAUGCUAUUUGAUGCAGUGGGGCUGUCAGUCCAGCAAACUGCCUCAUUUUGCAGAAUGUUCCAGGAAAGCAUGGGAAACGUUUCCAGCUAAAUCUGCAAGAAAAAUAUUUGCAUUACCCUCCAGGCUGAUUUGUAACCUAGAUUGCUGGGGUUGGGGGCUUGGGGUGGAGGGAUGCUGCUUUUCAGUAAGCUUGCACAAAAUAGACAUUUCCCUUUAGUCUGGAACAAAAUGAAAUUCAGACCACUGCAGAUGCUCAAAUGCCAAAUGACUUUCAAGCAUGAGAAAAUCUUGAAAUCCUAAGCAUAAAACAUAUGGCGCUUUGCUUUGGAAUGAGAUUGAAAAGGAAAAGCUCAACAGUAAAGCUGAACCGAGGACAUUUCAUUAUUCAGAAUGAUAGGAAAGAGCUUUCUUUUAGCAUAAGAAGAGAGAAUUUUGAGCAGAUCUGGCUGUUUUUGAAGGCAAGCAGCAGCCUUAUUAUUUAUUUGCCUCGUGGUCACAUUAGGUCAAUUAUUAACUCACUCAAAUGAAAGCCAAAAAGCUCCUUAAGAAUCUGUUUUAUGUGAAAGUGUGGAUGGAAGUGGAAACAAACAAGCAGAUUUUGUUCAGUUUAGGAGAGAAACAUCAACCAUUGUCUCUCUCUGUGUGCAGAGAUUUGGGACAGCUUUGGUCAUCCAAUAUGGAUAUCAAAGGAAGCAAAAUGGGGCUGAGGUAUUCACUGCUGAUAGUGGGGGGGGGGCAUCCCCCAAAUAUGAAAUAUCUGGGGGAUCCGUGUGUCCAUAUGAGCACUGUCUGUAUUUUUGCCCCGUGUCAGCUCUCCCCUUUUGCAAUCUGCCAUUCACAUCCCAUGAGCCAGAAGCAAUUGUGACUCAGAGUCGAGCUCAGAGUCGCUUUCCUGACCCUGUCUGCAACUGCAGAUCGCCCCAGGGCACAGCAGCUCAUUAACCUGGGGUUGUUCUUUGUAGCUGCAGGUGGUUUUCUCACUCCUGAUCCCAUCCCCAUCCCUCUCUCUGACCAUUCUCCUCCUGUGGGCCACGGUUCUAUUCCAAAUGUCCAUUUUACACCUCGCUUUAAUUAGUUUUGUAUCACUGUGUUGCAUUUAUAUCGCUUGGCAUAAGCUUCUCGUGGCUUCCAUUACAUCUUCUGCACUGCUGGGAUUUUUAUUUAUGGUGUUUCUGGUGCAUUUGCAUUACUUUCCUGAGAUGGAUAUCAUUUUGGCUGGAUUUACAGUGUAUUUCUUCAGUUAGAUUUAUAUCGCUUUAAUUAGAUUUAUAUCUCUUUAGGCUUUGAGGGCUUCACUUAGAUUUAUAAUCUCUCUUUUAGCAGGCUUGUCUUGCACGGGAGAUUCGCAUCCUCUUUCUUUCAAAGGGUAUUGCUUCACUCAACACCAGUGUUGCUUUAUCUAGGCUUUGGUCAGCCUAGGUUACACAAAGCCAGAACUCACAGCUUGCUUUCUUUCCCCUGAAUUUCCAACAGGAUUAUUCUACCAUAAAUUAACCUCUUCCAAGCCAACACCAGCAUGAAUGUAUUGGAGAUCAUCUCACCUGCUGGAUCAACAAGAGUCCAGUUAGCACGAUGCUCUUCCUAUUCCUUCCUGUGCAGUGUGCAGCUGUGUGAUGGAGGCUCCAAGCUUGCUUUUCCCUGUGCCAUAAUCAAGAAGCCUCGUUGGAGCUGAUCUCUUACAGAACAUAGCCUGUGCUUCCCAACAACAGCCACAGAGGACAUGGCUUUGUGCUCCUGCCCAGCUCUGAUCACAUCAGCUGGAAGGGAUCUACAUCCAUGUGCUUCGGGGUGGAAGCUAAGCUGGGAUUGAGAGGGGUCAGUGGGUGUUCCCUGAGGGCUGUUGUUUCAGGUGUUCACAGCAGGAUGCUCGGCUGCUUUCCCACUUGGAGGCAAUUUGGGGCUCUGUUGAAGGGCAGGAUGUGGGCUGGGUAAAUUCAGUUUUAGCUGAUGGAAAUGAAUUCCUGUGAACCCCUCCAGCCAUCAGCACUCAGUUGGGCAGGGCUGGAUGCACCUUGAGCUCUCACCCAGUCCAACCUCCUGGCCCUCUCCUUGCCCAAAACACAGUGAGACCCUGAUGCUUACUGUGUGCCCAAUGAUGUGACAAUGGCCACAGAACCAUUACAGAACCUUUGGAACUGAUCACUAAGCUCAUCAAAUCCAACCCGUCCCCACUAGCCACGUCUCCAUCCUCUGCCCUUCCUGCAGCUGCACAAACGAGUGGCUAACUCAAUUAAUGUGCAUCUAAUUAGGCCAUCAGCAUCUCUGGAAGAGGGGCUGCAUCCGCAGCAUGGGCUGCAGAGGUCUGAGCAUUCCAUUGCCCUCCCCAUGCUCUGCCACUGGGCCCCAUUCAUUUAAUUACGCCUGGCUGCUGUGCUCCUCGCCCUUUUAAUUGCCCUGGACACAGAGCAGCGUGGUAAGCAGGUCAGAGAUAGAUGCUGGGCAUUGUUUUAAGACAGUAAAGCUGUUUUUAAACAGCAUUCAGCAGCUUGCUUUAUGUAAUUGUUGAGAGAAGGAGGGCAUUCAGCAGGGGCAGCGGGGAAUGCUCCAAAGAGAUGCUGAGCAACUCCUAAUUAACGACAAAUGACUCGGAGCCUGAUGCACUGCUGUAACUGUAAGAUCUCUGCCGAACACCGCAGCUGCAAAUCCUUUCCCAGAGCUUCAGACCAAGCCAUAGGUCUGCAGCAAUAUUCCCAGGUAGAGCUGGGAUUUAGUCAACAGUUUGGAGGACUGGCAAAACCCAAACUAAUUAACUCUCCCUGAGGCUUAUUAGUUCUCUGGUGCUGGGAUCAAUGGGAAAAAGCUGAUUUUUAUGCGUUCACAUCCCCAAAAAGAGCUGCCCUGAUUGAACACUUCAAAAAGCACUGAUGAUUCUUUCAUGUAGUUUAAAAGUGGUGUUUGGCAUGAAAAUGAAAACAAAGGAUGGGAGAUUAAAUAGAUCAAGGCAGCACAUUUGGGCCUGAUCCCUGACCUCAGUUAUACCACUUCUACCUGAAAUUCAUGGUGGUGAAAAUAAGAUGAGAAAGAGGCAGCAAAGACUUGUGCUUGGUUGGUUUUCAUUUUGGAGACUGAUGUUGCUGAGGCCGUUCUGGACAAGGUGUGUUUUCAGAGCACAACUGAGGUCUGUUUGUCCUUCCCCUUGCACCGCCGUCCUGAUCUCAGGCUGUGCAAGCACCCAGCCAAAGUGCUGGAAGGAAAAUCUGCCUGGCUCUGUGUGUGCAGUCCAGCAAGGGAAAUAAACCCAAUGGGGCCAGGGCAGGGGAUGGAAAGCCUGGCAAGCCACGGGCAAGCAGCCCAGCCUAAGGCUGCGUGGCUCAGGAUGUGCUGGGUGAGCAGCCUGCCCAGGGCACUGAGCACUCGGGAUGUUUCCAGGGGCCCUGCUGAGCUCUGCAGCGUUCUAGAUGGGCAAACUGCAGUGUAUGCCCUGCUGAAAGCUCUGCAGGACUGUGAGUGCUGCUGGAGGAGCUCCCAGAGAUGUGUGUGGCCCCAGGACCGUGGGGAAGCCUGCCCAGCCCCUGUCUGCCACCUUUCCAAAGCAUAUCAUGCUUUCCAAGCAUGGGUGAGAUCAGGAUCUCAUUUUGCUCUGGUCUGGUCUGCAAUCUAGCCUCAAACCUGUUGCACUGAGAAGACAGGUGGAUGCAAGGCUUUGAUGUCUGCUGCAUCCAUCUCCCUCCAUGCCCUGACCACGCAGGAGCAAUGUCCAAUUCAUUACACACAGCCUGCUGCAUCCCCUUGGAAGAAAAGGGACUCUAUCUAAGCUCUGCCUCAGAGGGGACUUAGAACAGCUGGCUCUGAGCACUCCAGCAGGCACUAAUUACCCUAACGAGCCUCCCCAGGCCUUGCCCCAAGCACCCUCUUCCCACUGGCCCUACAGCUCCAUUUAAGUUCAAGCCAGGAGCUGCACUAUUCUACUGAGCACCUGGAACAGGGGACAAGUGGGUGAAUAGGGCAGCAUUGUCACAUAUAGAGGCAGCCCUGGGUAUGGAGUAGGCUUGGUGGGACAGAGCAUCCCUAAGUAGGGGUGGGCAGAUAAGCCAAGGCUGUGCUGAGGUGAGUCAACCAGAAGCAUCCUAACUGCAGCGGGUGGCUGUGGAGUGUGAUUUUGGGAUUGAAAGGUGGAAGAGUUUUCUAACAUAGGGCAAGGGACAGGGCAGGUGUAUUCCUGGAAUGGAUGAAGGGAAGAUGCUGCAGGUGCUGACAUGACGCUGAACUUCAAGUUUCGAGGUGAGGAAGGGGGAAUGAAGAUUUGCUGCUCAGUUGGGGCUGACCAAAGCUGCAUCCCAGGCCCCAAGGUGAAGCUGUGUCAGACUGUAAUCCUCUGCUCCCAAGCACUGUUGGAUCAUCCCAGCAGAGCAUGGAGAAUGUUUUCUUUUAACGGCACAUUUUUCCUUAAACCAGUUUGCAGGCACGGCUGAGGCAUUUUAAUGGAAAUUUCCUCCCAGUAAAAAGGCUGCAGCACACAUACCAGAAACUCUUGGCCCGGAUCAUUAACAUUCAGUAAAACUAUAAGCAACCCAGUGGGAGCAUUGAGCUGCCAGGCAUGCUUCGUCUUCCUACAGCUCAGCACACAGACUGUGGAUGGUGGGCAGCCCUUCAGAUGUACAAACAGCAAAGUCAGAAGAGGCCAACACCAAUGAAGCCUUGCUUUGGCCAUCAGGACCUGUCCCACAGUCUUUAAGCUGUGCUUAAUCCUCUCAGCUGCCUUUCAUGGCCAUUGAUUUCCAGCCACCUUACCCUGCUCUGCUGAUGGUGAAUCUCAGCAAGCUGUUCUCUCCUGUGCUCCUUGGCUGCUUUCUGUCUAUUCACAUAGGUGCUGGGAUCAGAUCUUCCAUUCCCAGGUCACGUUCAGGGUCUGUUUGUGCCUCAGUCCCAUUGCAGGAGCACAGCAUUGCUGGCAAGGUGCUGGGCACUGGAAGGAGCCUACUGAGAUGAUCUCUUUUUCUCAUUUCCCAUGCUUUGGGAGGAUACCAGGAGGAAAAUUGAUCCUAUUUACUCCACGCCAACUUUACAGGGAAGGAGAGCCCUGAAUUCCCCCUCACACCCUGCGGUCCAGGUACACAGCAGGCACUGCUGAAACCUGCAGCCAGGAGCUCACAGCUGCACAGAGGAGGGAUGGAUGCAUCCUCAUCCCUGCUAUCCUCCAGCAUGGAUGCAGGACUGUGCCACACUCCAGUGCUGGGCUGCACGCUGCUGGACCCGAAGUGACCCUGGUGCAAUGGGGAAGCUGCUCCCAGGUUUGAGCAGAGCACAGCCCUUCACACUGGACAUGUUCCAAGGGUUAUUUGUGCCUGCUGACCUCACGACGCUUUUCCUUCCAGCCCCUGCUGGGGUCCUCCUGUCUUUUUGCAUAAUCUCCUCUGAAGAAAUAGCAGGAGUGGGGCCUUCUUUGCAGCUUUUGUCCAGGAGAGCUGCCUUGCUGCACGGUUCCACUUUGAGAACCCCCCUCUCUUUUUGUGUUUGAGCUGAACCAUUUCUUUUCUCCCCUCUUUGCACCUCUUAACUUUCUCUCCUUCUGGACUCUGAUUUCUUUGCACCGUUAUUGUCCUCAAAAGUAUUUUGAGGACACAGUUUGUUCAAAGCAAGGCUGUGACAAUGCAAGGGCUGCAACUGGAAGCGUGGAUUAAAGCAGCGCUUUCUAUUUAUUUCUGUGCUUUUCCUCGCAAAGCUGUUUCUCUCAGACCCCAAUCCUGCUGCUGCUGUGACCUUUGCAUUUGCAGAGUGACCUUUGGAAAUCAAAGGGGCCCUUCAUCGGCAUCUGCCCAUCUGGAAGCGAUUGCAGCAGCGGGUGCAGGGCAAGUUGGGGCCUCGUGGCUGCAGCCUGGAGUGACCCAGUGAUGGGAAGAGGAGCUGAAGUGCCUUGCAUUGCAUCCUCGGGGUGGGAAUACCUCCGGCGUGCUGCCUGGAUGCAGGGAGAGCCUCAGCAGCCACGUCAACACUAUUUGAUUCACAGCCACCGUGUGUUCAGUGGACUCUGAAUUGUGUGCGUCGGUGCAAACUGCUGCCCUGGGCUUUGCUUUUCGUGCUGGCCUCCCCAUUCCUUUGUGUUCAGUUAUUUGUCAGGGAGGAGAAAACAUGAAGAAAGGAAAAAAAAGCACAGGAGAGCCCGGCAGCUGCCCUGGUGCUGCUGGAGAUGCCUCUCCAUCCUCUCGACAGAAGGGAGCGGGGCUCGGGACAGCGCUACUUUCUUUGCCUUCGGGCUUCUCUCUGCCUUUUUUCAAUCCCCUUUUCCCCUCCCUCUCUCCUCCCCCCGCAGCCCAGCUGGGGAGCAGCUGCGGCUCGCACUGGCCCUUUAACGGCGGGGCGGUGCUGCGGGCCCGAGGCUCGGCUCUCCGCGCUGGGGGAGGAAGUGCGGCCGGGGGGCGG
Long non-coding RNA from Tympanuchus pallidicinctus (lesser prairie-chicken), 6735 nucleotides. RefSeq lists it as uncharacterized. NCBI's taxonomy places the organism in Eukaryota, Metazoa, Chordata, Aves, Galliformes, Phasianidae. The record is from RefSeq and is a predicted model, not a curated record. The transcript has 3 exons.